This 253-nucleotide ribosomal RNA is filed under the name uncultured bacterium. RNAcentral describes it as "partial 16S ribosomal RNA". It matches the Rfam family "Bacterial small subunit ribosomal RNA", at positions 524 to 776 of the family's 1533-position model. The record is from RNAcentral.
GACAGAGGUGCCGAGCGUUAGGCGGAAUCACUGGGCUUAAAGCGUGUGUAGGCGGCGGCGUAAGUACCUUGUGAAAUCCCACGGCUCAACCGUGGAACUGCUCGGUAUACUGGUUGUCUUGAGCCAGCUAGGGGCGAGCGGAACAGACGGUGGAGCGGUGAAAUGCGUAGAUAUCGUCUGGAACGCCGAAGGUGAAAACAGCUCGCUGGGGCUGCGCUGACGCUGAGACACGAAAGCCAGGGGAGCGAACGGG